RNAcentral lists this ribosomal RNA (269 nucleotides) under uncultured prokaryote. RNAcentral describes it as "partial 16S ribosomal RNA". It matches the Rfam family "Bacterial small subunit ribosomal RNA", at positions 524 to 792 of the family's 1533-position model. The record is from RNAcentral.
UACGGAGGGUGCAAGCGUUGUUCGGAAUUACUGGGCGUAAAGAGCGUGUAGGCGGUUUGGCAAGUCAGAUGUGAAAGCCCUGGGCUCAACCUAGGAAGUGCAUUUGAAACUGCCAUUCUAGAGUAUGGGAGAGGAGAGUGGAAUUCCCAGUGUAGAGGUGAAAUUCGUAGAUAUUGGGAGGAACACCUGUGGCGAAGGCGACUCUCUGGACCAAUACUGACGCUGAGACGCGAAAGCGUGGGUAGCAAACAGGAUUAGAUACCCCCGUA